Molecule: ribosomal RNA, 274 nt
Filed under: uncultured bacterium
Lineage: Bacteria
Description: partial 16S ribosomal RNA
Rfam family: Bacterial small subunit ribosomal RNA
Source: RNAcentral
AUACGGAGGGUGCGAGCGUUAAUCGGAAUUACUGGGCGUAAAGCGUACGUAGGCGGUUAUUUAAGUCAGAUGUGAAAGCCCUGGGCUUAACCUGGGAACGGCAUUUGAUACUGGGUAACUAGAGUUUGAUAGAGGAGAGUGGAAUUUCAGGUGUAGCGGUGAAAUGCGUAGAGAUCUGAAGGAACAUCAGUGGCGAAGGCGGCUCUCUGGAUUAAAACUGACGCUGAGGUACGAAAGCGUGGGUAGCAAACAGGAUUAGAUACCCCGGUAGUCC